CUAUAAGAAAGAUCAAAUAUCUGUUGUGGAUACCCUAUGCAAAUACUAUUAUGAGUUCGGAAAAUCAAAAGUGAUAACAACGUUAACUGCUUGAGUGUUUAUUCCUCUAGUAAGCAAAUUUGUGCCAUAAAGAAAGAACACCAAAUUAUGAAAUCAAACAAUUAACAAAAUAGACAUUAUAUCACAGGAACACUUGUUGAUCCUGGUUAAAGAACAAAAACCAAUGACAUUUGUUAUGCAUCAUGAAAGAUAAAGUAAAAAUAUAUCAUCUAAGAACAAUGUAAGAAUCACCCAUUACUAAAUAAACAAAGGGAUGACACACCACCAAAGAGAGCUCAGUAAUACAAAGAAUAUCGAAUAUAGAAUACAUAUUAGUAAAGCCACAUAUUAAAGCAAAUAAAAUGCAUAAGCUUCAAGUAGCAUCUAGUUUAUGCCAAGGUACUGUUCGCUUUUGACCUAUGCCAAGGUAUAGUCAACUUUGAACCUAAUUUAAAAUUGAAUUCCUUACUCCACCUUUUAUGAUCACUAAACUUCUGCUCCAUUUAGAUGUGGUAUUUGGCAAGACUGGACAAAAUCUUGGCUGUUAACAUCUUUUGCAGCACUUGUACUUUUGUGAUUCAACAUUGUUUUCGGCAUAACAAAACAUACAGGUAGAUUCUAACUACUAAGGUCUGCUAAACAAUGAAAAUCUAGUGAGUUUAAUUGGAUAUUGCGCAGAGCUUGAUAACAGACUUCUUUUUUAUGAAGGUAUGUCAAGAGGAUGUUUGGAAAAUCAUUUAUUCAAACGUGAGUCAAUACUCUUUACAUGUUAGCAUUAUGAGAAUGUCACUGGUAGGAAAAAACAAAUCUUUGACGUCAGCUUUACCCAAAUUAAACUCUAGAAAUCAAUAGAUCCUAAAUCAUAUGACAUCUUUUCCACUACAUAUACCACAACACAGUUUUAAGUCACCACAUAGAUCUGCAGAUUUGCAGAUUGUGCAUUUGCAGAUUUACAGAUGUAUAGCAUAUUACAAAUAUGCAAUUCUAUACCAGAUUGUUGUAGCUAUUUCAAAAUUUUAGUCCACCUCACGAUAAAAAAACAGGGACAAGAUGAGAAAUUUCCAAAGACAAUCUAAUAUAGAAAUAUAAAUCAAGAUGGUAGUGGCACCAAACAAAGCACAGAAAAAGUGGAAACUCAACUUGAACAACACAAAGAUACUCUACUGCAAACAGGUGCAGCAAAAAGAGGAAGAUAGAUCUUACACUACGACGUUGCAGCUAUCCAGACGUGGGGUUUUCAUCUGGACAUGGCACAGGUGGACUUGAGAUCUUACAGUACGACGUAGUACCUAUCCGGACGUAGAGCUUUCAUCUUGACUUGGUAGUCCCUCAUCUUUCGAGGUUGUCUACUAUUAUUAUCUAGAUUAUAUGUAGGAUUUAGCUAGUGGAGCAUGUUCCACUAGUCUUUCAUUUCAAACCUUGUAUAGGUGCCUUUUUGGCAAGUAUACAUUUAA
Solanum lycopersicum (tomato) is the source of this 1493-nucleotide long non-coding RNA. RefSeq lists it as uncharacterized. NCBI's taxonomy places the organism in Eukaryota, Viridiplantae, Streptophyta, Magnoliopsida, Solanales, Solanaceae. The record is from RefSeq and is a predicted model, not a curated record.